GACGAACGCUGGCGGCGUGCUUAACACAUGCAAGUCGAACGGAAAGGCCCUGCUUUUGUGGGGUGCUCGAGUGGCGAACGGGUGAGUAACACGUGAGUAACCUGCCCUUGACUUUGGGAUAACUUCAGGAAACUGGGGCUCAUACCGGAUAGGAGCUCCUGCUGCAUGGUGGGGGUUGGAAAGUUUCGGCGGUUGGGGAUGGACUCGCGGCUUGUCAGCUUGUUGGUGGGGUAGUGGCUUACCAAGGCUUUGACGGGUAGCCGGCCUGAGAGGGUGACCGGCCACAUUGGGACUGAGAUACGACCCAGACUCAUACGGGAGGCAGCAGUGGGGAAUAUUGCACAAUGGGCGGAAGCCUGAUGCAGCAACGCCGCGUGCGGGAUGACGGCCUUCGGGUUGUAAACCGCUUUCGCCUGUGACGAAGCGUGAGUGACGGUAAUGGGUAAAGAAGCACCGGCUAACUACGUG
RNAcentral lists this ribosomal RNA (468 nucleotides) under uncultured bacterium. RNAcentral's name for it is "partial 16S ribosomal RNA". It matches the Rfam family "Bacterial small subunit ribosomal RNA", at positions 28 to 507 of the family's 1533-position model. The record is from RNAcentral.